RNAcentral lists this unclassified non-coding RNA (263 nucleotides) under Hevea brasiliensis (rubber tree). The record is from RNAcentral. Lineage: Eukaryota; Viridiplantae; Streptophyta; Magnoliopsida; Malpighiales; Euphorbiaceae.
GCGCAAGCCUCCCUUCCAUCUGCCACCCCAGAUUUCAUAAAGGCCAAAGCGCAGGGUGGUGUCGUCGGCUGAGAUUGGAAUGUUGAUCUCGAAAUUGCUGGGGAAGUCGAUAGGCGUCAGCCCGAUGUCCCUGGUAUUGAUAUAAAGCCUCUUCCAAGUGUAGGAUCCUGAGUCUCCAACCUUAGCCAUCAGGAACACUGGACUGCUAUCCCACCCAAACGCAUCAGAAUUUAGGCUUAUAUUGAACCCAAUCCUAUAUUUGC